This 106-nucleotide small nucleolar RNA is filed under the name Theobroma cacao (cacao). RNAcentral describes it as "Plant small nucleolar RNA R71". It matches the Rfam family "Plant small nucleolar RNA R71". From Rfam's summary of the family: R71 is a member of the C/D box family of snoRNAs containing the C (UGAUGA) and D (CUGA) box motifs. Multiple nearly identical copies of this snoRNA have been identified in Arabidopsis, and it is thought to function as a 2'-O-ribose methylation guide for 18S ribosomal RNA. Lineage: Eukaryota; Viridiplantae; Streptophyta; Magnoliopsida; Malvales; Malvaceae. The record is from Rfam by way of RNAcentral.
AUCUCAUGAUGUGGACAUCUUCUCAAUUGUUCUUAAAUCUUUCCCAAGCUUCAUACAAGGAUUCACCUGCAAAUUAUGUGAAUGAGGUGAUAUCAAUCCUCAUCUU